This 1372-nucleotide ribosomal RNA is filed under the name uncultured bacterium. RNAcentral describes it as "bacterial SSU rRNA". It matches the Rfam family "Bacterial small subunit ribosomal RNA", at positions 28 to 1381 of the family's 1533-position model. The record is from RNAcentral.
GAUGAACGCUGGCGGCGUGCCUAAUACAUGCAAGUCGAGCGAACGGACGAGAAGCUUGCUUCUCUGAUGUUAGCGGCGGACGGGUGAGUAACACGUGGAUAACCUACCUAUAGGACUGGGAUAACUUCGGGAAACCGGAGCUAAUACCGGAUAAUAUUUUGAACCGCAUGGUUCAAAAGUGAAAGACGGUCUUGCUGUCACUUAUAGAUGGAUCCGCGCUGCAUUAGCUAGUUGGUAAGGUAACGGCUUACCAAGGCAACGAUGCAUAGCCGACCUGAGAGGGUGAUCGGCCACACUGGAACUGAGACACGGUCCAGACUCCUACGGGAGGCAGCAGUAGGGAAUCUUCCGCAAUGGGCGAAAGCCUGACGGAGCAACGCCGCGUGAGUGAUGAAGGUCUUCGGAUCGUAAAACUCUGUUAUUAGGGAAGAACAUAUGUGUAAGUAACUGUGCACAUCUUGACGGUACCUAAUCAGAAAGCCACGGCUAACUACGUGCCAGCAGCCGCGGUAAUACGUAGGUGGCAAGCGUUAUCCGGAAUUAUUGGGCGUAAAGCGCGCGUAGGCGGUUUUUUAAGUCUGAUGUGAAAGCCCACGGCUCAACCGUGGAGGGUCAUUGGAAACUGGAAAACUUGAGUGCAGAAGAGGAAAGUGGAAUUCCAUGUGUAGCGGUGAAAUGCGCAGAGAUAUGGAGGAACACCAGUGGCGAAGGCGACUUUCUGGUCUGUAACUGACGCUGAUGUGCGAAAGCGUGGGGAUCAAACAGGAUUAGAUACCCUGGUAGUCCACGCCGUAAACGAUGAGUGCUAAGUGUUAGGGGGUUUCCGCCCUUUAGUGCUGCAGCUAACGCAUUAAGCACUCCGCCUGGGGAGUACGACCGCAAGGUUGAAACUCAAAGGAAUUGACGGGGACCCGCACAAGCGGUGGAGCAUGUGGUUUAAUUCGAAGCAACGCGAAGAACCUUACCAAAUCUUGACAUCCUUUGACAACUCUAGAGAUAGAGCCUUCCCCUUCGGGGGACAAAGUGACAGGUGGUGCAUGGUUGUCGUCAGCUCGUGUCGUGAGAUGUUGGGUUAAGUCCCGCAACGAGCGCAACCCUUAAGCUUAGUUGCCAUCAUUAAGUUGGGCACUCUAAGUUGACUGCCGGUGACAAACCGGAGGAAGGUGGGGAUGACGUCAAAUCAUCAUGCCCCUUAUGAUUUGGGCUACACACGUGCUACAAUGGACAAUACAAAGGGCAGCGAAACCGCGAGGUCAAGCAAAUCCCAUAAAGUUGUUCUCAGUUCGGAUUGUAGUCUGCAACUCGACUACAUGAAGCUGGAAUCGCUAGUAAUCGUAGAUCAGCAUGCUACGGUGAAUACGUUCCCGGGUCU